This is a non-coding RNA of Cyanistes caeruleus (blue tit), 8782 nucleotides long. NCBI's taxonomy places the organism in Eukaryota, Metazoa, Chordata, Aves, Passeriformes, Paridae. The record is from RefSeq and is a predicted model, not a curated record.
CGGUGCCACAGCGGGGAGCGAGUUGGGCUGUCCUCGGAACCCUGGGACACCGAGACGGGCUGCCCUGGGCUUCCCCCUGGCAUUCUGUGAGAGGGGCUGCCCUCCGCCAUGGUGCUCCGAGAUGGGCAGCUUUGAGCGCCACCACAGCACUCUGACAGGGGCUGCCCUCAUAUCCACAAUGGCACCCUGAGAAGGGCAUCCCUCAGCCCCACCAUGGCACCCUGAGAGGAGCUGCCCUCAUUCCCCAUGGUGCCAAAAAAGGAGGUAUUCUGAGCCAUGGUGCCACCAUGGCACCCAGAGAAGGGCAGUUUUCAACCCUACCAUAGUGCCUAGAGAUGUGCAGCUCUCAGCUCCACCAUUGGACGGAGAGGAGCAGCCCUGAGCCCUGCCAUGGCACUCUCAGGGGGGUUGCCCUCUGCGCCCUCAUGGAGCCCAGAGAUGAGCAGCCCUUGGCCCUGCUAUGAUGUCUCGAGAGGGUCUCCUCAGAGGAGCAGCCCAUGGCCCCACUAAAGCAUGCAGUGAGAGGAGCUGUCCUCAGUCCAUGGCAGCAUCCAGAAAGUGGCUGCUCUCAGUCCUGCCAUGGCACCCUGAGGGGGACAGGCACACCCCUGCCAAGCUGGGAGUUAACCAGGCCCUUCUGAGCCAGAAUUAAACAGGCCAUUCUGGGCCAUGCCCCUCUCAGAAGGCUUUCUGUUCUGACUGCAGAUAAAAGCCUUCUCUUUGGCGCACUGUGCUGUUGGAACAGGGGUGUCCCCAGCACAAGCCACACAGCUGCAAGCAUCGCUUAUGUUGGUCAGCAGCUCUGUCAGUAUUUCAUACAGGGUACUCCUCCCAAGCUGAUGGUAGCACUCCCACACUUUGUCCUGAUGCAGCUGGACACACCUUGCUGCAGACAGAAAGAGGUGCUCGAGCUGGCACGCAGUCCCUCUGGAUUUUGGGUCCCCCACAGAGCAGCUGCCCAGUCAGUUUCCUUCCAUGGGGUGCAGAAAAGCCCUGACCCCCAGCACCAGAGGGAAAGGUGAGAAUGACAUGUGGGAUGACACAUCUCUGCACAGACCUAAUCCUGUAUUCCACACCCUUCCCAGGGUUAAGUUCUGAGCUACCUCAGAGGCCUCCUCCAGCCCACACAGCUCAGCCAUAGUUCCUUUGAGGCAGAAUCAUGCAGCAAGAGAACGGUUCCUAAUUAAACACCCACUUAGGAAGAUGGAGCUAUGCCAUGGAUUACAUUUCUGAUGGCCUAUAUACUCCCAUGUGAUCAGCAUGCAGAGCUGUCAGAAGGCUGUAACUCUGUGUGGCAUUUUUAAUCACAUGAAGAUUCCUUCAAAGCUACCAGAGCUUGACUGCUGAUGCUCUUGCCUUGAGGGAGAGUUGUAAGCUCAUUUGCAGGGGAGAAAGACAGACAGACAGACAGAAAGGAAGAGGACAAUUGGCUUAAAGUCGAUUUUUAAUGAGGCAGGAUUUCUCUGGUCUAUGCUUUGAUACGCAACUUUGCUCCUGACCAAGAUCCACUUCAAAUGACAGAGAUUUAGCUGUGGAAGCAGAGGAUCUCCUUGGAGACAGACAGAUCAAUGCCUGCUGAAGCAGCUCAGUUGAAGAAAUAGCUUUGGGAAUGGAAAUUACCACAAAGAAGAUUUGUGAAUAGAAUCCUAAAAGAUACCUAAUCUGGCCUUUUUCCAGGAGCUGUGUAGACAACAAACUAGGGCUUGAGAAUAAGGGCAGUGUACUAAAUGAGAGCAUGUUAGGUUUUCGGCUAGAAAAGUUUACAGAAGCAGCUCAGCAACAGAAAUACAACACCCAUCUUGUGGAGUCACCUCCCCUGAAGUGGCCGAGGUUGUUCUUCCUGCCAAGGGAACGAGGGCACACAGAGCCUUCUGUCCACAGAGCGCUCGCCUUGGCCCAGGCACAAAUGGGAGCUUUUCUUUCCUCCUGCUCAGAAGGCACCAAGAAUGAGGUGUUUGGCCAUGGAAACCGGAAUUGCUUCAGCCUCAGUAAGAAGGACUCACUGUUUGCAGGCACAGCAUCAUUUCCCCCAGCACACUGUUGUUCUUGAAUUGCACACCAGAACCUGGGAAGGAAAGAGGAGGAGAGAGGGGUGAAUAACUGCAUUGGAUUUUCUAACUACAAAUUCUUUCUACUGUUCUUAGCCUAUUCUUUGUUGUAUUGCUUGUAUAUUGCUGCAACAGUCUUCAAGUAUUUCAUUAAGUAUUGGACAGGUGAGCUGACUAAUGGACGUUCCAAAUUUCACAUCCUUUUCCUUCUCUUCGUGGCAAUCAUGUUCUUUGUAAGCCUCAUGUUUCUGUUUGGCUACCACUGCUGGCUCGUCAGCAGGAACAGAUCCACUCUAGAGGCUUUCUCAGCUCCAGUGUUUCAAAAUGGCCCAGAUAAAAAUGGAUUCAAUCUUGGCUUUGUGAAGAAUCUCCAGCAAGUGUUUGGGGAAGAAAAAAAACUCUGGCUGCUGCCUAUUGCCUCUAGCCAGGGGGAUGGACAUUUUUUCCCAAUGAGAGCCUUGAGUGAAGCUCGGAACCCUCUCCUGAUAAAUGAGGAGCAGUGGGAAGAGGAUGGAAUAGAUGAAGAGCCUCAGGGCUCUGGUGAAGCCUCAUCCCUCGCCAUAGAAAGGGAGACAUAGCAGUGUGAAAGCACAGUGGUGUAAAGCUGGAUCAGAAAGCUUCCCUCUCAGGAGCCAACAUCCCUUCUCUUGGCAAGGACUUCAGUUUUGAGGGUCAGAAAACAGGUGGAUCUUCAAGAUGAAAAAACAUCCUGAAGUAUUGUCUGAUGGGAAUCUGCAUUCUAGAGUGCUUCUCCAGGAAUCCUGCUGUCCAGAUGUCCCAAGGCUUUAUAAGUUUAAGUUACAGACUUAACAGAACAAUUUUACAGAGUGAUUCUGGCCAAUCUUCUUUGGCCUGCUCUCUUUAUUUUAUAAAUACUAUAUAUUUUUUAUUCAAAACAGGUAAAAAUGUUGAUGCGAGUGCAUUUCCAAAGGCCUUUUCAUUUUGCAAACAUCAGGGACUCGAGCUCUUGAAAUUCUUGCAAGCCAUAAUAUUCUUGGGGAUGGUUAUUUAUUUUGAGGCUGAUUCUCCAACCUUCUCUGACAAGUGACAUUUUCUAAUGUGUUUAAAUUCUAAGUCAGUCAGAUCAGCUCAAUGCAAGACAGACCCAGUUAAAUCUGGCACUAAAUUGGUAGCUGAAUGUAAGAAUAUUGAAAGCAAAAGCGCUGAACAUGCACAGGUACAUGUGCAGCUGUGAAUGAAAAUAAAAUAUUCACAUUGCCAGUAUCAAGAUUCAAGAAUAUUGUGGCCAUAGAUUUUUUUAAACUGUUUUUUAGGGGGGUGUUAUUGUCUUAGAGUUUGAGUAAUAGUGCUUUUGAAUCCUAAUUGCAGGCUCCUAAAAUGCAAAAGGGAACUUCAGACAGUCCAAUUUGCAUUAAUUCCUAGGGCUAAAAUGUUAUCUCAUUCCUGGAUCAGUGUUUGAUGGAGAUUUGUGUGUUCAUGGAGUCAGAAAGGAAGAUGUGAGUUCGAAAUGUGCACUGAAAGUGUGGCUCCAUGAGUCGUGUUUGGAGUUUACACUCCUCAGGGGUGGUUUGAACCCCAAAAUGUUGAAGACACAAUUGAUAUAUUGAAUUUUAUCAGAUUUCUUCCCAGCUCAGUGCACUGACUGGCUUCAGGGGUUUCUGCACUAAGAGGUGAUCAGAUUUGUUUCUGCAUUUUGCUGCAUUUACAGUCGAAGAGGUGGAUCCCUGUUUUUGUUCUGGGGAAUGGAACUGAGACUUGGCUGGCUGGAUUAUGGACAUUUUUCUAGACCUGAGUCCUUUUUUUUAUUUGCAUGAUUCAGCCCAGUCCAUCAUUCUUGUUUGAAUUAGGUGCAUGCUAAAAGUAUUGGUGUACUGCCUCUAAGAUCAUUUAGUACCAUUUUCUAUCCCAUUUUUGUGUUUAACAGCCCAUUGAUGUUGGCAGUGGCUACAGGAGCAGGAGCUGCUGAGUGAGUUUGGUGAUGGAGGCUUUUCUUGCAGACUAAACCCCUCUUUCCUCUGUUCCUUUGCUGCUGCUGCCACAGGGAAUGUGUUUGUGAGCCAGGAGAGCCUUGCAGAGGUUCCUUCCCUAAGAAAAGGUGUUUAACUCCUGGUUGAUCCGCGCCCUGUGGGUGGGAAUUUUGUCCUCAGCCUCUGCAGUUUGUGUGGAGCAGGCAUUGCUGACCUCUCUGCGAUGUCUCGCUGCUGAAUUUGGUUUGAGGGGCCAAGGUGGGCUGGCCCAGGCUUGUGUGGCUUUGUGUCUCUCCUCAGGGUGGCCCUGAGCACUGAAAAUGUUCCUGCUUCAGCCACCUGAGCCCCAUCUGUUGAGUGGGUUUGUCACCAAACUGCUGCUGAGUGCUGGAAGGGUUUUUCCUGUCAAUCUGAAGCUGCAUUUCUAAUGUGAAUCUGGUGUUGGACCUUGUGCUGUGUGUGAUGCAAUGUGGCAGCUGAAUUAAUCCCCUCAUUCCUGGCAAAAUGUGCUCUGGAGAGGGAGCUUGAGAGGAUGAUGGCAGCUAAACACAGCCAGAAUUUAGCACCUACAGAGGUGCUAUUUGUGCCUUUAAAAACUUUAAAUUCCUUGUACCACGAAGAUGAUUUGGUGACUUUGUUUCAUCCUGUCAGCUGAAGUGUAUUUUUCCAGAGGUUGUGUGGAUUUCUGAGCAGGUUCUUGUGCCCUUCUUGGGCUUGGUUCUGGUUCCAGCCCUGUCAUUAUUUGAGUUCUUUGUGUGCCAGGCAGCAGCAGCAGAGCUGUGCAGGAGCUCCCUGCCUGUUCCUGCUGCUGCACUGCUCAUUAGGGAGUACAGAAAAUCAGGCUUUGUCUUCUAAUACUAAGCCAGGUAUCUUCAUGAUGGUACAGGUACCAAGCUCAGUUUAAGAAAGGUUUUUAAAUGUUUCCAAGUAACUUUUAUUGAGUCACUUUUCUUGUAAUUAAUUAAGGUCAUCUCUUCCCUUUCCUUCAAAGCAACUAAAAGCCUCCCAUGGUUGUAACAAGCUCUUGUCCAGGUGGAAACAAUAGAGAGUUUAUCACUUCAGAGCCACUUCUCAAUAUCCACACGUCAGAUGCUGGAAGGCUUCAUGAAAUAUGAAACAAACCCAAAAGUUGUGUAAAAUGAGGCAGAACAGAAUGGGGAAAACCCACAAGUCUGAGUGAGCAGCUCCAUUUUGUUCCCUUCUGCCUCCUUAAGGUGAUACCCUUAUUUUACCCCUGGCCUUUGUGCUUUUUAUGCUUUUUUAAAUGCACUGGAAGACAGAAGUUCCUCAGGCUGACGUGGUCACUGCUGCAGGUGACAAGAGAGAGAAUAUUCAGCCCAGUGUGUGGUAGUUUCUUUUAACCUACAAAUGGCUCUUCAAGGGUAACCCACUGCAGCACCUCCUUCGUUUUCCAUGCCCUGAUCCUCAUCCAGAGGUUCUCCACCAUCAUCACUGACUGUAAGGGCUGUAUCAUCAAACCUCUCCCCCACCUGCCCUCCAUCCCAGCAUUCCAGGAGUGGGAUUCAUCCCACCAAGUCCCUUCAACACCAAGGUACUGCAGCUCUGGGAGCUGCCCAGCGAUUCCAGUUCAUCCUGUGCUGGUGUCCCAGCACUCCAGGUACACCCUGAGCCCUCCAUGUGCCAGCAGCAGCCACCAGUGUUCACUGUCACUCUCUGGCUGGGUGCUGGAGAUGCAGCUCCAGUCAGAGAACCUGGAGAAUUGUAAAGGUUUGAGUCAGUUCUGGUGCUGCUGUCAGUUGUGUGCCUGAAGGUGUUCCACUCCAGCCUGGGAAGUGUCUCAACCCCCUCCAGGGGCUGUUUGCUCUGCUCAGCAUUGGAGCUGCACUACAGCUUUCUCAGCUAUGAACAACUUUUCCAAGUGAUGUCACCACAGGAAAGGAGGGAAUGCUUUUGUUGGACUUUACUGUGAGGCCUCCAUUGUUAUCCCUGUAGUCCUGGAUUCAUCCUCUAAAAUAACUGACCACUAACCUCACCUCCUCACCUCUCCCCCCUCUCUCCCAUUUACAUUCAGGUACAAAAUCCCAGACAGAGCAUCACAUUGAUGUUUCUCUGUGUGGAACUGUCCAGUCAAGUCCAGUCCUGGGCCAGCAAGUCCUGCCCAAGGAACCAGGACUUGUGCAAUGCUCACUGCACUGCCAGGUUUCUCUUGCUGAGCUGGAAGAUUUUGAAGUAGGAUAAUCUUGUUUUCCUUCAAGCAGGGAGCAGUUCUGUGUUUGAGGAGGCUGUAUCCAGUGUGUGUGGGGUGCAGUCACUGGUGAGAAUCAGGAAGAUUCCAAACCACACUAUGCAAUGAAUGUUUGCUUCCUGGGACAAACAGGAAUGGAUUCAGCAAAAUCCACACCAGCUGCAGCUCUGUAGUUCUAGAUGCUGGUCUGGAAUGAAAGCACAACUUGAUGCAUAAAGUCUGUAAUAUGAUAUGAAUGUAAAAUGUCAAGGGGAAACAAUAUAAAAAAGUUAAUUAUUUUUUCCCUGUAUUUAGCUAUGAAGAAUGAUGUGCUGAGCAGUUACUCUGUGCAGAGUUACUCUGCUGAGCAGUUACUCUGCACAGAGCUGGUGCACUCAUGGAAGGGUUUAAUUAGCAGGGGAAGAAAUCACUGCUGACCUUGUUUAUUAAGCCAGAAUUAAUUAACUCAAAAGGGUCAUAUUUUAAUUUCAAUGACUCCUGUGGUACAGAUUUCUGAAAUGGAUCCAUAGUACUUGAAAAUACCUCAAUUUUAUUGAUAUUUUUCCAAUUCUAUCCGCUUCUACUUUAUUACAGAACACUUGCAAACCUCCAGUCAUUCUGAACAGAUCACUGAAGGUGUUUGUGUGGCAGAGGGGCUGUUUUCAUUCCCAGCCUGACCUGGCAGACCCUGCCCUGCUCACAAACACUGAGCUCGCACCCACUGCUGCAGGGUUUUAGUCUCCUGUCCUUUUUCCAUCCCACUUUGAGUGUUCCCUCUUCCUCCUGAACAUACAGUUAAGUAUCUUCAGCUUUGAGCAGCUUGUGCUGGUUUUUUUGGGGUACUGUGAAGGUGAGUAGGUGUCAUUUUAUGCAGUUGUGCCACGCAUUUUAUUUGUAAUUAAUCUCUCUGUUUGUCAGGUAUUGGUUUGUAGUUCCAUCAUCAGGCCCAGCUGGCUUUGCUUAGAGCAGGAUCCCACUUCCUGCAUUUUCUCUUUCCUAAAAGCCUCAUUUCUUCAUUCUCCAGCUUUCUUUUGGGAUGUAAACCUUGUGAAAUAAAAUGUAAGUUUACAUUUCAAAUACAAGCCUGUAAGUUGCUCAUGCCUGCAUGCUCCUUAAAAUACUGUUGUUUUCUGUAUGAGGUUUUAAGAUUUACAGCAGCAUUUGUAAAACUUUAAAUGUGGGUAAAAACUUUAAAAAGUGGGUAAAUUGUUAAAAAAAAAAAAAUUAUGUUAAGGAGGGUGGAAAAAACCACAACCCCCAAAAAAUCCAACAAAAAUGACAAAGGGAUCAUCUCUGCUUCUUAUUCCAGCUGUGCUUGAAAAGAAAUACCUGCUUGCAUCCAGUGCUGGUGUCAGACAGCCCCUGGAACAUGCAGGUACCUGACCGAUGGCUUCCCUGCUGCUUCAGUACUUCCUGAAGCACUCCUUGAGUUAAACCUUGCACAGAUCCCACGGGAAACCUGAAACCCAACACCAUCGGCCUCCCCCUCUCCUUUCUAACCGGGGGAAGGUGUGUGCAGCCCCUUCUCAGCACUUCCCUCUGUAAGAGGAACAGAAGCCCACAGUGAAAGUGUUGGUGUAUUACUUCCCCCCCAUUUUCUGGAGGAUCCGGGAGCCCCCAGGACAUGUCCCAGAACUCCCUCAGCAUCUGGAAUGUUGCUGAUGUCAUGAACUGCUGAGCUGGUGCAGGUGACCUUCCCUGGGAGGGAGGAGGUGGGACCUGCUGUUCCUCUGCUCUCAUUUAACCCCAUCCUUCUCUGGAAUUAAGCACGCUAUGGAGUGGCUUCCUGCUCUACUCAGAGCUACUCCAGAGUGAUUCCAAAUCUGUUGUUGGAGCAGGGAACUUUGGGUUAGGAACACGGGAAGCAGGAAAAGUCUUUGUUAUUUUAUAAAUUUAUAAUCUGUCUGCUCAGCUGGCUGCUCCUCAUCUGAAAAUGCUGUUUGUGGUACAAAUGGGUCCCUCGAAGAUGGAACCGAGCUAAAUCUCAGGAUCAGGGAAUGGCAGAGCUGUGGUGUAUGAAACCCCAGGAGGGUUUUUUGCCCCUGGCAAAUGGGGCUGGAGCAGAACCCCACUGCAGGGGCUGCUGUGGGUCAGGGGGAUCCUUUGGGAGCUCCCUCUGGGGCGGGAUCAGCGCUGCCAUUCCUGAUGGAGCUGACAAUUGGGAAACAGCAGCAAUCCCCUGGAGUGGUCUGGAACUGCAUCCAGCUGCUUUUUAGGAGCCCAGCAUGGCCUGGGGCUGGCAGCUGUUCCAGUCAGAACUGGUGGCUUAAUACACAUCUCUCCCCACUAAUUCAGUGGGAAUUCUUUUCCAAGGAAUGUCACACUGGGAUUGCUGCCCACACCUUUGGGGUGUUGUGUUCAGGAGUUUAAUGCUGCUGCUGCUGCUGGCAUUGAGACUUUUGAUAUCAAAUGGGUUUUUACAAAAGCUUUGGAUACUUGUUUUUACUGUUGGACCAAUGUUCUGACUAUGCUGAUGCUCUGUGGAGUUUCACUGGCAUUUUCCAAGUGUUUGUACAGUUUCUACAGCUGAAUAUCCUGUACGUUCUGCUUUGUUGUUUUUUAUUAUGGUUUCUACUGCACUGCAGGCAAGAACUGCAUUAAAACCAUUUUUGGCUAAUUCA